UCAUUAGAUACCCUGGUAGUGCCUGAAGUGUGCAACCGCAAGGAGCGCCCUAAGGUAAAACCGGUGACUGGGGCUAAGUCGUAACAAGGUAUC
This 93-nucleotide ribosomal RNA is filed under the name uncultured bacterium. Its description in RNAcentral is "partial 16S ribosomal RNA". The record is from RNAcentral.